GAUGAAGAACGUAGCGAAAUGCGAUAAGUAAUGUGAAUUGCAGAAUUCAGUGAAUCAUCGAAUCUUUGAACGCACAUUGCGCCCGCCAGUAUUCUGGCGGGCAUGCCUGUUCGAGCGUCAUUUCAACCAUCAAGCCCCAGGCUUGUGUUGGGGACCUGCGGCUGCCGCAGGCCCUGAAAACCAGUGGCGGGCUCGCUGUCACACCGGGCGUAGUAGAUUUUAUCUCGCUCAGGGCGUGCUGCGGGUCCCGGCCGUUAAAAGCCUUUUUUUAACCAAGGUUGACCUCGGAUCAGGUAGGAAGACCCGCUGAACUUAAGCAUAUCAAUAAGCGGAGGA
This 336-nucleotide unclassified non-coding RNA is filed under the name soil metagenome. RNAcentral describes it as "partial contains 5.8S ribosomal RNA, internal transcribed spacer 2, and large subunit ribosomal RNA". The stretch from base 1 to 120 matches the Rfam family "5.8S ribosomal RNA", at positions 35 to 154 of the family's 154-position model. The record is from RNAcentral.